GGGGGCGUCACGGCUUCGACGGAGAUGCUUGCGGCCAAGAGGCAUGCCGGGGUGCACACACCCGUAAUCGUGAGCAAAAUGAUAAUUGCCAAUCAACAGAUGGCAUACGCAGCCUAACUAGUUUAGGCAGCCGUCCCAAGAGGCUUUGCUCGUGGGCCUCCGAAGGACGUCACACAGCGAGCUGCUCUUCUCUUCUACGUCUGGGAUGAGAGGCUAAGACCACAGGCUAGCGGAACGCGUUUCUUGUCGGUUCUGAGCGCGGGCCGCGAACGUCCCAGGGUAAUGCCUGGGGCAUGAACACGACUAAGCAUGUAGUUCUCUUGACCAGUAACAUUUUCGGACGCGGGUUCGACUCCCGCCGCCUCCACCA
This 370-nucleotide transfer-messenger RNA is filed under the name Terriglobales. Its description in RNAcentral is "Sulfotelmatobacter sp003225535 Standard tmRNA". It matches the Rfam family "transfer-messenger RNA". Rfam says of the family: Bacterial tmRNA, also known as 10Sa RNA or SsrA, is named for its dual tRNA and mRNA-like properties. Its role is to liberate the mRNA from a stalled ribosome. The record is from RNAcentral. RNAcentral also lists the same sequence under 2 other names. Lineage: Bacteria; Pseudomonadati; Acidobacteriota; Terriglobia.